UGCUCUAGUGAGUGUCGUAUGUUUCCUGAUCAGACAUAAAGUGUAAUAUCACAGAUAUAUACUACAUUUAUGCAGGCCAAUAAUAACAACUUUAAAUUGAGAAAGUUUCUGACAGUAAAGCUAACAAAAGGCUAGGAUAGGUUGCCUAGGGAGAUUGUGAGGUUGCCAUCACUUAUGACAUCAUCUUUAAAGUGUGCUGUGAAGAGUAUAUUCCUUACGAAUAUGCCUGGAAUUAGGCUUGGAGGCAAGAAGAUGAAUUAGAUGGUGGUUUGAAUCUCUCUGAGGACUGUACUCAAGGAUCUUCUGCUCCUAAUAAGUAUUCAAUCACAAAGUCUUCUGAACAAAGUCCUCAGGGCUUGGUGAUUCACACAAGAAGAGCCUUUGGAAGGUCAUCGCCCAACAUCACUGGUGUUUAAAAAGCUGCUGUCCCAGGGAUGUCAUGACUUGAGCACUUCUGCUGAGAUCAAUCCAUAAAGAAUGCAUUUUUUUACAACUGA
Pseudopipra pipra is the source of this 497-nucleotide long non-coding RNA. RefSeq lists it as uncharacterized. The transcript is spliced from 2 exons. Lineage: Eukaryota; Metazoa; Chordata; Aves; Passeriformes; Pipridae. The record is from RefSeq and is a predicted model, not a curated record.